Long non-coding RNA from Esox lucius (northern pike), 1929 nucleotides. Lineage: Eukaryota; Metazoa; Chordata; Actinopteri; Esociformes; Esocidae. The record is from Ensembl.
CAGAAAACAAACCGCUGUUAUGGGGAGGUGGCGUUGUCCCUUGGGUGGCCUCCUGGAGGUGGUUUGGGAGGACGGUCCCGAUGACCUCUCCACCCUUGUUCCCAAUACAGUCUUUCUUCCUCUUGGGCUCCCAUCAUGUCACUGGGGCCAAGCAACGGCUCGGGGUGACCCUCCUUCUGACCUCUGUUGCCUGACUCCUGGGGCAUCUUCUCCCUUGGGUUUUCUCCCAGCAACUCCCCGGAGCUGCUCAUUGGGAGCCCGUAAAUACCUCUCUUGACAAGGUCCCGAUAGAAGGCAGUCCAUUGGAUAGGUAACUUUUAAGAGAGGUCUGGUCUUUUCGUCGACAGCUGUGUAGACAUGUAAUCAUUGUGUGCCAGAUCUUGUUUCAGAGGUAUUACCAAGAGCCAUAGCAACAAUCCCCAGCUCACACACAGACAGCAUCAAUACAUCGAUGCACUGUUUCUCAUAAUGCUUGAUGGAAAUGGGUGAGUUUGGUCAUUUACCUUAUUCAACACAAUCAUGGCAAGGCAUAAGGCUUAUUGAUUCCAUCUCAGGAAAUGUCAAACCAUUCUGAAGGAGGCACAUUACUGUACAACCUUUGCUAGGAAACUCUGUACUUGGCACUUGGCACAAUUCUUGGAAAAUCACAAACCAAUCACACCUAUUCACAGCAACCAAUCUACCCUAAACCACAAAGCCUAUCACAAGUCUCGCUACAGAAACAUAUUUUAUGUCAAAUCCAUAUGUUAAUAAACUGCUUCGGAGGGCCGUCAUAACUUGAUGUUGUAACUGGUGGAAGUUCAAAUAGCGCUUCCAAUACUGCAGAGAUGAAUCUGGUUGCUUAAUCAGGAGAGCUGCUGGAGGCUAAGGAAGUGGCACUGAGAAAUGUAUUAUGCAACACCUCGCAUAAUGUCAUCCACACAGGUUAGGCAGUUUGCUGUAAGCCCCCAGGACAGGAUGCUAAUCUAUCGCAGAAUCUGGAUAUACCAUUGAAAACACAGUCUAGGACAGAAUUUGAGAUUACACACUAUUAGAUCACUAUCCAGAAAGUCUGUUCUGAUCCUGAGGAGUUCAGAGGACUUCCACAAUUGGCAAAUUGGCAUGAAAGGUUCAGCUCAAAAAAGGUUGUUGCAGAAAAAAGAUUGAAUUCAAAUGGAUUUACUUGAGACGUAACACCUUCUGAGCUGUGGCCAACAAGUAAUAUGUCAACCCUUGGAGGAGUAAAUGAGUUUCUUGACACAACAGGGGAGGAAACUGUGUGGGUUCAAACCAGUUAGUUGGCCCAUCACAUGACGACUCUUCCAUCCCUGCUAUCACUUUCUCAAACAGCCCUGAUUAUACCCCCAGCCUAAUUACGCCUGGCUUAGAUAUUAUGACUGGGAUGGGCUUCAAAGCAUCACAGAUGCACAACGUCUCACUUACCACAACCCAAUGGGGCUUUAGGCGGUGGACUUCAAAGCAUGGGAGCAACAGCAACAGAAGCAUAGACGCACACACACAAAUCCCUGACCCCAUGGAACCAACAUCAGAAAGUGAACACAAAGCAGGACGAGCAGGAUGAGAUGUCUAAUCUCGUGCAUACGAUAUGCUGUCCUGCUCAUUGUGUGGGUGUGUGUGUGUGUGUGUGUGUAUGUGUAAGUGUGGUUUACUCCUUCCUAUUACAUCCAAUGGAUGACAAACCAGACCGGAUUUUUUUGAACUUGUAAUCUUUGGAUAUCCAGUUUCCCCUUUAAUAUAAUGAGCUGUACAAUAUUUCCCCUGGAAAUUGGUAUGGGCCUUCUGUGGUUCUACAGUCUAUGGAUGGAGUCAUCAUUCAAUACAUUGUUCUAUUUAUUGGGGGGGGGGGGGUUGUUGUGGAGAAAGAUAGAGUGGGAGAAAGAGACAAGGCGAGAUGGAAGUAAUAAACAAAAUAUUGUCUUUGCAAUAAAA